GCUUAACACAUGCAAGUCGAGGGGCAGCACAGGUUUCAAUACCGGGUGGCGACCGGCGCACGGGUGAGUAACGCGUAUGCAACUUACCUAUCAGAGGGGGAUAACCCGGCGAAAGUCGGACUAAUACCGCAUGAAGCAGGGGUCCCGCAUGGGGAUAUUUGCUAAAGAUUCAUCGCUGAUAGAUAGGCAUGCGUUCCAUUAGGCAGUUGGCGGGGUAACGGCCCACCAAACCGACGAUGGAUAGGGGUUCUGAGAGGAAGGUCCCCCACAUUGGUACUGAGACACGGACCAAACUCCUACGGGAGGCAGCAGUGAGGAAUAUUGGUCAAUGGCCGAGAGGCUGAACCAGCCAAGUCGCGUGAGGGAUGAAGGUUCUACGGAUCGUAAACCUCUUUUAUAAGGGAAUAAAGUGCGGGACGUGUCCCGUUUUGUAUGUACCUUAUGAAUAAGGAUCGGCUAACUCCGUGCCAGCAGCCGCGGUAAUACGGAGGAUCCGAGCGUUAUCCGGAUUUAUUGGGUUUAAAGGGUGCGUAGGCGGCCUUUUAAGUCAGCGGUGAAAGUCUGUGGCUCAACCAUAGAAUUGCCGUUGAAACUGGGGGGCUUGAGUAUGUUUGAGGCAGGCGGAAUGCGUGGUGUAGCGGUGAAAUGCAUAGAUAUCACGCAGAACCCCGAUUGCGAAGGCAGCCUGCCAAGCCAUUACUGACGCUGAUGCACGAAAGCGUGGGGAUCAAACAGGAUUAGAUACCCUGGUAGUCCACGCAGUAAACGAUGAUCACUAGCUGUUUGCGAUACACUGUAAGCGGCACAGCGAAAGCGUUAAGUGAUCCACCUGGGGAGUACGCCGGCAACGGUGAAACUCAAAGGAAUUGACGGGGGCCCGCACAAGCGGAGGAACAUGUGGUUUAAUUCGAUGAUACGCGAGGAACCUUACCCGGGUUUGAACGCAUUCGGACCGAGGUGGAAACACCUUUUCUAGCAAUAGCCGUUUGCGAGGUGCUGCAUGGUUGUCGUCAGCUCGUGCCGUGAGGUGUCGGCUUAAGUGCCAUAACGAGCGCAACCCUUGCCACUAGUUACUAACAGGUAAAGCUGAGGACUCUGGUGGGACUGCCAGCGUAAGCUGCGAGGAAGGCGGGGAUGACGUCAAAUCAGCACGGCCCUUACAUCCGGGGCGACACACGUGUUACAAUGGCGUGGACAAAGGGAAGCCACCUGGCGACAGGGAGCGAAUCCCCAAACCACGUCUCAGUUCGGAUCGGAGUCUGCAACCCGACUCCGUGAAGCUGGAUUCGCUAGUAAUCGCGCAUCAGCCAUGGCGCGGUGAAUACGUUCCCGGGCCUUGUACACACCGCCCGUCAAGCCAUGGGAGCCGGGGGUACCUGAAGUCCGUAACCGCGAGGAUCGGCCUAGGGUAAAACUGGUGACUGGGGCUAAGUC
Molecule: ribosomal RNA, 1434 nt
Filed under: uncultured organism
Description: 16S ribosomal RNA
Rfam family: Bacterial small subunit ribosomal RNA
Source: RNAcentral